UACGUAGGCAGCGAGCGUUGUUCGGAGUUACUGGGCGUAAAGGGUGUGUAGGCGGUUCUCUAAGUUUGGUGUGAAAUCUCCCGGCUCAACUGGGGGGGUGCGCCGAAAACUGGAGGGCUAGAGUACGGGAUGGGAGAGUAGAAUUCCUGGUGUAGCGGUGAAAUGCGUAGAUAUCAGGAGGAAUACCGGUGGUGUAGACGGCUCUCUGGACCGUAACUGACGCUGAGACACGAAAGCGUGGGUAGCAAACAGG
RNAcentral lists this ribosomal RNA (253 nucleotides) under uncultured bacterium. Its description in RNAcentral is "partial 16S ribosomal RNA". It matches the Rfam family "Bacterial small subunit ribosomal RNA", at positions 524 to 776 of the family's 1533-position model. The record is from RNAcentral.